Molecule: ribosomal RNA, 538 nt
Filed under: uncultured bacterium
Lineage: Bacteria
Description: bacterial SSU rRNA
Rfam family: Bacterial small subunit ribosomal RNA
Source: RNAcentral
ACUGAAUAGAUACCCAGGUAGUCCACGCCGUAAACGAUGGAUGCUAGCAGUUAUGCGUAUCGACCCGCGUAGUUGCGAAGCUAACGCGUUAAGCAUCCCGCCUGUGGAGUACGGUCGCAAGACUAAAACAUAAAGGAAUUGACGGGGACCCGCACAAGCGGUGGAGCGUGUUGUUUAAUUCGAUGAUAAGCGAAGAACCUUACCCAGGCUUGACAUCCUAGGAAUUGCUGCGAAAGCAGCGAGUGCCUUCGGGAAUCUAGUGACAGGUGAUGCAUGGCCGUCGUCAGCUCGUGUCGUGAGAUGUUUGGUUAAGUCCAUUAACGAGCGCAACCCCUUUGUUUAGUUGAAUUUUCUAAACAGACUGCCCUGGUAACAGGGAGGAAGGAGGGGAUGAUGUCAGGUCAGUAUUUCCCUUACGUCUGGGGCUACAAACACGCUACAAUGGCCGGUACAAAGGGCUGCAACCCGCAGGGGUAGCAAAUCCCAUCAAAGCCGGUCUCAGUUCGGAUAGUAGGCUGAAACUCGCCUGCUUGAAGCC